GGGGGAGCAAUCCCCUGAGUAGAGCGGCGAACGGGUGAGUAACGCGUGGGUAAUCUGCCCCUCAGCCUGGGAUAACACCUCGAAAGAGGUGCUAAUACCGGAUGACAUCAGCCCGGCGCAUGCCGGGCUGAUCAAUGGCGGCCUCUGCAUGCAUGCUGUCACUGGGGGAUGAGCCUGCGUCCGAUUAGCUAGUUGGUGGGGUAACGGCCCACCAAGGCGACGAUCGGUAGCCGGCCUGAGAGGGUGACCGGCCACACUGGGACUGAGAUACGGCCCAGACUCCUACGGGAGGCAGCAGUGGGGAAUAUUGCGCAAUGGGCGAAAGCCUGACGCAGCGACGCCGCGUGGGGGAUGACGGCCUUCGGGUUGUAAACCCCUGUCGGGUGGAACGAACAAGCUCGGUGCGAAUACCACCGGGCCCUGACGGUACCACCGAAGGAAGCCCCGGCUAACUACGUGCCAGCAGCCGCGGUAAUACGUAGGGGGCGAGCGUUGUUCGGAUUUACUGGGCGUAAAGAGCGCGUAGGCGGCCGGACAAGUCCGUUGUGAAAUCCCCCGGCUCAACCGGGGACCCGCUUCGGAAACUAUCCGGCUUGAGUCGCGGAGAGGAGAGCGGAAUUCCCAGUGUAGCGGUGAAAUGCGUAGAUAUUGGGAGGAACACCGGUGGCGAAGGCGGCUCUC
RNAcentral lists this ribosomal RNA (681 nucleotides) under uncultured bacterium. RNAcentral describes it as "bacterial SSU rRNA". It matches the Rfam family "Bacterial small subunit ribosomal RNA", at positions 73 to 729 of the family's 1533-position model. The record is from RNAcentral.